CUCACACCACCAAUGCAUAUGUACUCACACCACCAACACAUAUGUACUCACACCACCAACACAUAGGUACUCACACCACCAACGCAUAUGUACUCACACCACCAACGCAUAGGUACUCACACCACCAACGCAUAGGUACUCACACCACCAACACAUAUGUACUCACACCACCAACACAUAGGUACUCACCCC
Molecule: long non-coding RNA, 192 nt
Organism: Oncorhynchus keta (chum salmon)
Lineage: Eukaryota; Metazoa; Chordata; Actinopteri; Salmoniformes; Salmonidae
Exons: 3
Source: RefSeq, a predicted model, not a curated record